Molecule: ribosomal RNA, 253 nt
Filed under: uncultured bacterium
Lineage: Bacteria
Description: partial 16S ribosomal RNA
Rfam family: Bacterial small subunit ribosomal RNA
Source: RNAcentral
GACAGAGGAUGCAAGCGUUAUCCGGAAUGAUUGGGCGUAAAGCGCGCGUAGGCGGCCACUUAAGUCGGAUGUGAAAGCCCCUGGCUCAACUGGGGAAGUGCACCCGAAACUGAGCGGCUUGAAUGCAAAAGAGGGUCGCGGAAUUCCCGGUGUAGAGGUGAAAUUCGUAGAUAUCAGGAGGAACACCGGUGGCGAAGGCGGAUCUCUGGGCCAUUACUGACGCUGAGGAGCGAAAGCGUGGGGAGCGAACAGG